Molecule: ribosomal RNA, 301 nt
Filed under: uncultured bacterium
Lineage: Bacteria
Description: partial 16S ribosomal RNA
Rfam family: Bacterial small subunit ribosomal RNA
Source: RNAcentral
CAGUCGCCGCGGUAAUACGUAGGUGGCAAGCGUUGUCCGGAAUUAUUGGGCGUAAAGCGUGCGCAGGCGGUUUGUUAAGACAGAUGUGAAACCCCCGGGCUCAACCUGGGAACUGCAUUUGUGACUGGCAAGCUAGAGUAUGGCAGAGGGGGGUGGAAUUCCGCGUGUAGCAGUGAAAUGCGUAGAUAUGCGGAGGAACACCGAUGGCGAAGGCAGCCCCCUGGGCCAAUACUGACGCUCAUGCACGAAAGCGUGGGGAGCAAACAGGAUUAGAGACCCCCGUAGUCCCUGUCUCUUAUAC